Molecule: long non-coding RNA, 20921 nt
Filed under: Capsicum annuum
Lineage: Eukaryota; Viridiplantae; Streptophyta; Magnoliopsida; Solanales; Solanaceae
Description: long non-coding RNA (CANN_LNC002236)
Source: RNAcentral
AGCAAAUAUGAAUUUGUAAUUGGUAUAGCUAUAUAUGAAAACAAAACAUAUCUUGAGGACGCCCUUUGCUUUUGUUUUGUCGUAUUGAACUAAAUAACAUUCACUUUAAGCAGAGGGUGCAAUAAGUACUUGUUUCCAAAUACAAAAGAAGAAGAAAACAAUCCUUAAUAUGUAUAGGGGAAGAUAAUUAGACAAGCAGGUUAGGGCCCGUCAAAGUGUCGAGCCAAGCCAAAAUAUAAGCAUCCACGUAAAUACAUGUGGGAGGUAUAUAUAUAUAUUAAUAGAGACCUAAAAAUUAAGUCUGCAUCCACGUAAAUACCUCCACACAAUUAACAGCUCCUCAAUUUGUUGGAAUGUUCCACGCCUCGCAAAAAGCACGAGCACUGACGAAGAAAAUAGUAAAGUGAAUUAGAUUCUUGAAACUAGCAUGACAAUAAUAAGAGUGAAAUAUAGAUGUCAAGGCAUAAUAACCUUCUUAACUGAUACAUAAGAUAUUGACAUAUAAUUAAAUGUGCAUUUCUUAAGCACAACGAAAACAAUUGCAUCAAUCACAAGCUGCAAAACAUAAGUCGAUAUCAAACCAAAAACUUAUCAAAAAUCUCUGUCCUCCUACACACGAAUACUGAAUUCCAUAAAAGCAACAGUCAUGUCUUCCGUAUUGAAAGAUACAACUCCUAGAUUCGUCCGCCAGUAGAGAAAUUAUAACACCUUUUUCAUGUAAUGUUGAAAGGAGAUGAAUUUAAUUCAGGAAUUGGCGCGAGGAAGCCUUCGUAUGAUAGUUAAGCUUAGGUGCCAUUAUAAAAAGUUAUGCAAAAUGAACUUUAACAUCCACAUCCCUAGCCUUAGACCCUACCCACUUGGUCUCCUGAACACACGCAAUGUUGAUCCUUCUCUUCCUAAGGGUCUUCACAAGCUCUAUGGACUUGCCCUGCAGGGUCCCUAUAUUCCAAGACCCAACCCUCAGCCUACCUUCACUACCCGCACGCCCUUCACUACUUCCCCCGCGGCCAAACCUUGGCCUCCCUCCCACUCCCGCCCUUUCCUCAUCCCCCGCCCCAACCCCCUCAGACAUGACCCUAUCCACCCAUUACUGCCCACAGCCACAACUAGGCGAAAGUAUAAGAGAAUAUAAAGAUAAUAUAAAUAUAUAAAGACAUAAACGAUGGUAAUAGUAAAGCAGCGGUAAUUAAUACAAGGCUCACACCAAUUCAAGGAAAUAUUUCAGCAACCAAACUAUACUCAAUUACUAGUAUAAUACGAAGAAUGAAAGAAUGCAGAAUGAAGAAUGAAAUAAGCAAAGGUUAGAAGUCACCAGAUUUCACUUGUAGACCAAGCCGGCAACCAAGCCCCGCGUCGACCUGCUGCCGGGGGAUCGCUACUGAGAUGGAUCCGCGGCUGCCGGCUGAAGACCGAGCUACAGCUGCUGCCCUGUUGUACGGCGCCGGCGGAGGGGGGGGUCUGGACAGAGAAGGGGAGGUACAGCAGGGGGGAACCGGAUCUCGGUGACGGCGGUCGAUGACCGGCGGUCAGCGUCGGUGACCGGUGCGAGAGAGAGGGAGAGAGGGUAGGGAGAGAGAGAGAGAGCUGUUAAAGAGAGAGAGAGCCGUUAAGGCAGCGUCGUAGGUCGGCGUCGGGGCCAGAGGUCGGGCCCGGUGGUCGGGUCGGGUCGGCGCCGACGGUCGGCGACGGCGCCGAAGGCCGUGGACCGAGAUAGAGAGUCUAGUGAGAGAGAGAGUCUAGUGAGAGAGAGAGCCGUGAGAGAACUAACUAGUCAAAAUAUCUAAUCAUCAUUUGAAGCAUUUCAGUGAUUACUAAUACAAAAGUAUAUAUUACUGAGAACUUAGAAGGGUACAUGGAAGGAUUUGAAAUAUCUUUCCAUUCUUUUUUAGUAAUCUUAUAGGGAUACAACACGAGAGUUUUGAGAGAUCAUUGAUCCAAAUACUACUAUCGCCGAGUUUUAAUAAGUUCUGAUGAAUCUAAGAUUUCUUGUUUUUUUUAAAAAGAAAGUGAGACCCUUUUCUUUUUUGAAAAAGAAUAUUACUUUCUUGCAUAAAUGAGCUCCCUGGUUGGCAAUCUUGUACAAUAUAAAAAUCCCCUUUUUGCUCCUUUUUUGCUCAUUCUCUCACCUUACCUCUUGAGAGUUAAACCCUAAAAUAGUGUGAGAGCUUAAAAGUGAAAUUUGUGGGUGCUUGAAAAGCUAGAUUAACAUCUAUUUAUUGAUUCUCUUACGGAUUUAAGAUAAGAAUUCACCCUUUUCUUAGGAAAUUUCUUGAUUAAUUUCUCAAAACCUCAAAAAUCUUAGGACUUGAUUUUAAACCCCAAUUUCACUCCUUUUCACUUGAAUAAUGUUCCUAAUCAUAUAAUUACUAGUUUGUUAUCAAUCUCAUUUCCAAACAACUUUGAUUCUUUAUUUUUAAUACGGUUUUGAAAGAUUUUACUCGGUAAAGCUCAAAAAUAAUUUUUCUUCGAUUUGAACAUCAUUUUUGACUCGAUUCGACUUGGGUUUACAACUAUAGAUUCUCAAAAAUAUGGAGAAUAUGUUUUGAAGUAAAGUUAUAAAUUUGCCCUUCUUUUUUUGAAAAUUCAUUUUGGGAGUCCGUUUUGACCCCAAAUCAAAAGUAGGCAAUAUGGAUAUCGCUGGCUUUGUUUUGACGCUUAGAUUCUAUAUUUCUUGAUUUUAAAUAAUUUCAAAAUUGUUUAUUAGAAGUAAGAUGUAAUAAUCCAUAAAUCCUAAUCAUUUAGGUCCGUUAUAGCAUGCCAAAAGGGGUCCCAAACUUAGAAAAAUUCAGCUAAGUGUUAAGACUUAGAAGCGUUUUUAGUCUUUGAAAUUGGAUGAUCUUAUUUUUGAUCUUUACGAUCUUAGAAUGUCGAUUUACAAGUUAAUUCAUGACCAGGGAUGUCAAUAAGUCAUAUUGGGUGAGUUUCAAAAUUUUAAGACUUCGUUUGGGUCAUGUUUGGAUGGGCAAAACAACAAGCCAACACGAUCUUAAUGCGUCACGUUGGCUACUACAUUGCACCCAUCAACAUGAUUUUGCCAUGAAAUGUUAUCAUGUGGUCCCAUUCAUGUGCAAGUUCAUCCCUCUCAAAUGUUUGACAAAAUAUCUAAAUGAAUGCAUAGUGGACAAGUAACUAAUGUAAUGCCUUCAAGAUUUUGCCAUGUUUUACUAUUGAUGCUAUCGAGUCUUGGGGAUAUUCAAUACCUGACAAUCUAGCUGUUUACCUAGAAUUACAGUAUCUAUAGAAUAGUCUCAGUAACAUCAUGAACAGUAGUACUCAGUCAGUUACAGAACUUAGUGAACUCAGUCCAGUUCAAUUAGUCAACAUGAUCAAUAAUAUUUCAGUCAUGCCUAGUACAAUUUAAUGAUUAGUUCAGUAUUUAUUCAGUUGGGAGUAGGAUUCAGCACCAACCGAAUCUAUGGAUGGGGAUAUUUUUGCCAGCAAAGGGUUUGACCUUAGUAGCAGUCCCUCCGUUAUAAAACUACAUAGCCAACAUAGGGUAAGUCAUCCUCCUAUCAGAUUAGAGUUGACGCAACCAUAUAUACAAUUCAUGAGUCUUCCUGCUAGAUUAGGGUUGACACAACAUUAUUAGUAUCCCUUGGCAAGGUGCUAACACCCUUCCAACUGGGGUCACAGGUUAGACACCAACUCAGUUUAUAAUAGGGGUAUGUUAGUUAUAUGAACACUCCCACAGUUACAGUUUUAGUAUUCAGUACUCAGUAAUCAAUAUUCAGUCUCAAAAUUCAGUAAAAAACUCAGAUAAUUCUACAGAACCAUGGCUAUCAGUUAUUAGUUACUUAACCAUCUAAAUUCAGUACUUCAAUAUUAGUCUAAAUCUCAGUUAUCAGUAUUCAGUUACCAGUACUUAGUACUUCAGUUUCAGUCUAAUUCAGAUAGAGGUUAUAUGCACAAUAUUGCAUAGUCAUCAUGAUUAGUAGUUACAGUUUUGCAUGUACUCUUAUUCAGUUAUUUCAUGAUGUUCAUUCAGUCAGUUAUCAUCUCAUGUAUAUGAACCCAUGUAUAUCAGCCUGCCUCACUUAGCAUACCAGUACAUUCAAAGUACUUAUGCAUACUCUGUGUUUUACGCUAUGAUGUCUCAUGUCAUAGGUUCAAACGCAUGAGCUUCUGACCGUACUUAGCAGCUUAGGUUAUCAACAGCAGUUAUAGUAGUGAGUCAUCAUAUUUUAAGGACAGAGUUAUUUAUUUCAGCAUUCCAGUAGUUCAGUAUGUUCAACAGUCGGAGCUAGAUGGAGACUUGUCCUAUCAACUCCAUAUUCAGACAGUUAGAGGCUUUCAGACUAGACUAUUUUAGACAGAUAUUUAGUUUUUCAGUAUUAUUAUCAGUAUUCAGUAUUUGUUUUCUAUUUAUGAACCUUAUGGAAAUUUCAGCCUAACUUCCGCAUAUAUUUUCAUUAUUAUUAUUAUUAUUCAGUGCUCACAGCAGGUACCAGUCAUGGGUUAGCUUGUGGUCCUUCGAAAUUGUAAGCACCGUGUGAUGCCUAGGGUACAGUAUCAGGGUGUUACAAACUUUGUACUAGAGCCUAAGGUUCAAAAAAGUCCUAGGGAGUCUGAAAGCCACAUCAAGUAGAGUCUUGUGCAUGGUCGUGUAGCGCCCCACACUUAUGGACAGUAGGCUAUGAGGCAUUUUUAGGAAAAGUUCCCUUCUUCUAGUUCAUGUUGUACGAGUGAGCAUGAGUUCAAGUUAAACUCUCUAUCUAAUCUAAGUUUUCCUUCUAUUUAUAGAAUAUGCCCCCCAAAAGACUAAUGGAAGAAGAACUGGAAAUUAGCCAGCAUGUCUGCCUGUUCAGGCAGAUCCCCUGGAUGAGCAUGUUUGUUACGCAGAAUUUAGCGCAACUUUCACCACUCUAGCUCAUUCUGUGGUAGCCUAAAAUAAAUGCCCUUCUGCUGUUUAUGCCAACCCAGUGGCCAAUACUACUGCAUCUAGAAUUUGGGAUUUCACCCGAAUGAACCCUCUUUUAUUUUCAAGGUCUAAGUCUGCAGAGGACCUACAAAAAUUCCUUGACAUGAUGCAGAAGGUCACAGAUAUUAUGGGGGUAACUUCUAGUGAGAGUGCUGAGUUUGCUGCAUAUCAGUUGUAGGAUGUGGCUCAUACAUGGUUUAAGUAAUGAAAGACAGAUAGGGCCACAGAUGUAGGGCCUAUAGAAUAGGAAGAGUUUGCUGCUGCCUUUCUAGAUAGGUUCUUCCAAUGGUAGUUAAGGGAAACUAAGGUGUUAAAAUUUAUUAACUUAAAGCUUAGAAGCAUGACAGUGAAAGAGUAUUCUCUCAAGUUUACUCAGUUAGCCAAAUAUGCUCCUCAUGUGGUAGCUGGUAGCAGAUCUAAGAUGAGUAAGUUCAUGUCUGGUGUGUCUGACAGUGUGGUUAAUGAGUGUAGGACCAUAAUUCUUAUUAAGGAGAUGGACUUGGCUUGGUUGAUGGUCCAUGCUCAACAGAUAGAAAAUAAAAAGACUAAGAAGUAGGAGAGAGAAAAUAAGAAGGCUAGAAUAGGUAGCUUCAACUUCACUCAGCCUAAGUUAGAGAGUGGUAAUCGUCCUCAGUUUUUCCUAAAAUCUUCAGUUUCAGCUCCAUCCUCAGCCAGUGCUCUAGUGCCUAAAUUCAGAAAUGGUAAAAAGGAUAGGGCGCCAGACUCUAAAUCUCAGGGUAGUGUUAAUAGUGCUCAAACAAAUUCUCUUUGCCAGAAGUAUGGCAGAAACCAUCAAGGUAUCUGCAGAGCUGGCAGUGAUGUAUGUUUUGGAUGUGGAAAUCCAAGACAUAGGGUUAGAGAGUGUCCUUAGGUGGGUUCGCAGAGUCAGUAUAAUCGUCCCCCAGCUCAGUCCUGUCACCCAUUUAGCAGGGUGCCACUUCUUGUGCCACCAGUGGGCAACACCCAAAUAGGCUUUAUACACUUCAGUCUUGACAGGAUCAGGAAAGUUCUCCUGAUGUGGUCACUGGUACGUUACAAAUUUAUCAUUUAUAUGUUUAUACUUUGCUAGAUCCAGAAGCUUUUUUAUCCUUUGUAACUCCUUAUAUAGAUGUUGACUUCGGAGUCAGUUUUGAAAUCCUAGUAGAGCCCUUUUUAGUCUUCACCCCAGUGGAAAAUUCUAUCAUAGUCUGGCGGGUAUACAGGAACUGUCCGAUUAUGGUAUCUCAGAAAGUUACUUCAGCGAACUUAGUAGAGUUAGAGAUGACAGAUUUUGACGUCAUUCUCGGCAUGGAUUAGCUUCAUUCAUGCUAUGCUUCAGUUGACUAUAGAAAUAGAGUUGUCUAUUUUCAGUUCCCAAAUGAACCUAUCCUAGAAUGGAGGGGUAGUACUUCAGUACUUAUGGGUUAGCUUGUUUCCUACCUUAGGGUGAGAAAAAUGAUAUCUAAGGGGUGUGUCUAUCAUCUCGUUUGAGUUAAAGACUCUAGUUGGGAGAUCCCUAAUCUUGAGUCAGUUUUAGUAGCAUGUGAAUUUCCAAAUUUGUUUCUUGAAGAUCUUUUCGGAGUUCCUUCCGAGAGGGAAAUUAACUUUGGAAUAGACCUUUUUUUAGAUACUUAACCUAUCUCUAUUUUGCCAUACAAAAUGGCUCUAGCAGAACUCAAAGAAUUAAAAGAACAGUUGAAGGAUCUCCUAGAUAAGGGGUUCAUCAGGCCUAGUGUUUCCAUGUGGGGUGCACCAAUUCUAUUCGUGCGUAAGAAAGAUAAUUUUCAUAGAAUAUUUAUUGACUAUCGUUAGUUGAACAAAGUCACAGCCAAGAACAAGUAUCCACUUCCCAGAAUCGGUGACUUAUUUGACCAACUUCAGGGUGCCAGUUACUUUUCUAAGAUAGAACUUAGAUCAGGCUAUCAUCAGCUCAGAGUCAGAGAAUGUGACAUUUUGAAAUUAACUUUUAGAACUCGGUAUGGUCACUUCAAAUUCCUAGUCAUGUCAUUUGGUCUUACCAAUUCCCCGACAACUUUCAUGGACUUGAUGAACCGUGUGUUCAAGAAUUACUUACACAUAUUUAUUAUAGUCUUCAUAGAUAACGUUCUUGUCUACUCUCGCAGUGAAUAUGAUCACGUAAACUAUCUCAGAAUUGUAUUGCAGACCCUUAGAGCCCAUCUAUUAUUUGCCAAAUUCAGUAAAUGUGAAUUUUGGCUAAGGUUAAUAGCUUUUCUUGGUCAUAUAAUUUUUGGUGAUGGCAUUAGAGUUGAUCCUCAAAAGACCAAAGAAGUGAGAAACUCACCCUGGCCCCUCUCUCCAUUAGAUAUCAGGAGUUUCUUAGGUUUAGCUGGCUAUUACCGGUGGUUUGUUAAAGGAUUUUCGUCUAUCACAUCCCCCAUGUCUAGAUUAACUCAGAAGAAAGUCAAAUUCUAGUUUUCAAAUCCUUGUAAGAAGAGUUUUUAGGAGUUGAAGACUCGACUCACAACAACCUCAGUUUUGACUUUGCCCGACGAUUCAGAUGGGUUUACUACGUUUUGUGAUGCUUUCAGAGUUGUUUUAGGGGUGUGUUUUGAUGCAGAAGGGUAACGUUAUAGCCUAUGCCUCUAGACUGCUUAAGCCACAUAAAAAAAAGUACCCCACGCUGAUCUUGAGUUAGCAACUGUAGUGUUUGCCUUAAUGAUUUAGAGGCACUAUUUAUAUGGGGUACAUGUUGAUGUGUUCACAGACCAUAAAAGUUUGCAGUAUGUAUUUUCUCAGAAAGACUUAAACUUACGUCAGAAAAGGUGGUUAGUGUUAUGAAAAGACUAUGAUAUGAGUGUUUUGUAUUAUCCGGGCAAGGCUAAUAUAGUGGCUGGUGCUCUCAGUAAAUUGUCCAUGGAUAGUAUUGCUCACGUUGAGGAUGGUAAGAAGAAGUUAGUUCAGGAGGUUCAUCAGCUUUCCAGGUUGGGUGUUCAUUUAGUUAAUCCAGUUGAGGGUAGUGUAUGGGUGCAGAAUAGUUUAGAAUCAUAUUUGGUUUUUGAAGUAAAAGAAAAAUAGGAUAGAGAUCCCAGUUUAGUUAAGCAGAAAUAGUCAGUCAAAGAUAGAAAAAUCGAGGUUUUCUCCCAAGGGGGAGAUGGUGUGUUGCGCUGCUACGGUAGAUUAUGUAAGCCAUGUGUGGUUGGCGUGAGAUAGUGGAUUCUUAAAGAAGGCUUGGUGUUCGUUACUCGAUUCAUCUAGGGGCUACUAAGAUGUACCAUGACUUGCGGUAAGUCUAUUGGUGGAGUGGGAUGAAGAGUGACAUUGCAGAGUUUGUGGCUAAGUACUCUACGUGUCAACAGGUUAAGAUUGAGCAUCAAAACCUAGUGUGUCUAUUCAGGCGUUCAUUAUUCCCACAUGGAAGUGGGAGAAAGUGAACAUGGACUUCGUGAUGGGUUUGCCUCGUACUCAUCAUUAACAUGAUUCCAUUUGGGUUAUUGUAGACAGGAUGACCAAAUCCGCUCUUUUCUUGUUGGUCCAUACCUCUUACUCAGCCGAGGAUUAUGCCAAGCUCUAUGUUAGAGAGUUGGUCAGAUUGUACGGAGUUUCACUAUCCAUCAUUUCAGAUAGAGGUACGCAGUUCACCUCUUACUUUUGAAAAGCCUUUCAAAAGGGUCUUGGUACCCAAGUUCACCUCGGUACAACCUUUCACCCUCAGAUAGAUGGUCAAGCAGAAAGGACCAUUCAGACUUUAGAAGAUAUGUUGAGAGUGUGUGUUGUUGACUUUAAGAGUAGUUGGGAUGAUCACUUGCCUUUGAUUCAAAUGGCCCAGUUUGAGGAACUUUAUGGUAGGAAAUGUAGGUCUCUUAUUGGGUGGUUUAAAGUUGGAGAGGCCGCAAUGGUAGGGCCUGAUUUGGUGUUUGACACCUUAGAGGAGGUUCAGUUGAUCAGGGAAUGGCUUAAGAUAGCUCAGAGCCAACAGAAAUUGUAUGCUUAUGUGAGAAGAAAAAAUCUCGAGAUUGAGAUUGGUGGUUAUGUAUACUUAAAAAUCUCUCCCAUAAAGGGAGUGAAGAGGUUUGGCAAGAAGGGGAAGCUCAGUCCCCGAUAUGUUGGUCCUUAUCGAAUUCUCGAUCGUUUCAGAAAGGUAGCUUACGAGAUUGAGUGGCCUUCAGACUUAGAUUUAGUACACCCAGUGUUUCACAUCUCCUUGCAAAAUAAAUGCAUUGGUGAUCCAGCAGUAGGAGUCCCUAUAGAUAGUAUAGAUGUUCAGAAUAGCAUCUCUUAUGAGGAAGUCCCAGUCAAAAUCCUUGAUCAUCAAAUUCACCGAAUGAGGAACAAAGAAGUUUCUUUGGUCAAAGUUCUUUGGCGGAAUCAGUCCGUUGAGGGAGGUACUUAGGAAGCAGAAGCAGAUAUGUGAACCAAGUAUCCUCACCUCUUCUCCGCAAACUCAGACUCAACUUGAGGUAACAGUCUUUCUUACAUUUACUCAUUUCCAUGCUUAGAUUACCUUUAGAAACCUGGUAUCAAUUACCAUUGCAUAUCAUCCUCAUGAAAGUCAUGCAUUCAUAAAUUAGUUCAGCCAUGUAAUCAUGCUUCAUUUAUGCAUGUUCAGUAUGAAAACUCAAUUUAUUAGCAGUUUCAGUCAUGUAAUUAUAUUUCAGUUGUCCAUGUUCAGCAUAUAAACUUAAACUAUCAGUAUUCUCAGUUCAGUCAGUCUCAUUCGAGGAUGAAUGUUCUCAAGGGGGAGAUAUUGUAAGAGCCCACAAAUCCUAGUCAUUUCGGUCCUUUAUAGCAUGCCAAAAUGGGUCCCAGACUUAGAAAAAUUCAGCUAAGUUUUAAGACUUAGAAGCAUUUUUAACCUUCGAAAUUGGAUGAUCUUAUUUUUGAACUUUCCAACCUUAGAAUGUCGAUUUUCAAGUUGAUUAAUGAUCAGGGAUGUCAAUAGGUCAUAUUAUGUGAGUUUCGAAUUUUUUGGAAUUCAUUUGGGUCAUGUUUGGAUGGUAAAAGUAGCAAGCCAACGCGAUCUUGAAGCGUCACUUUGGAUACCACAUUGCACCCAUUGACGCGAUGCGUCGGUAAUCGGAUUGAUCCCAUAGACGCGAUGCAUCGCCAAUUGCGUCGCUGGGUAGUUUUUGUGCAUUAAAUUUUGAGUUUCCAAGGGCAUUUAAGUCCUUUUCCCCUUACCCAAUUCCGCUAAAACACAAGAUUAAGCCCCCCAAAAGGCAAAAUUCAUUCUUUAUUCUCAAAAUUCCUCUCAAGAACAAACCCUAGUUCAUCAAGCUCAAGAUUCAAGUCCCAAGUAUUCACCACAAUUCUCAAAGAAAUUAAUAAUCAAGGUAUGUUAGGUGUUUAUCCUUGGGUUUCCUUCGACCCUUGGUGUUUAAGAACCUUUUUUAAAAUUAUAAGUUUAUUGAUUUCAUGAUUUACAUGUUUGAAUUGGAUAAUGUUCAUGUAUGUAUUGUUGUAUGGUUUUCAAAUCAAAAUUCAUACAAAAGCAGCCUCACCUACCUCAAAGCAACCAAUAUGAGAUCUACAUCUCCUUCCAUGGAGAGCCUCUAAUGGAGUUAUGUGUAUACUGGAGUGAUAAAUAUUGUUGUAAGCAAACUCAAUCAAAGGUAAGUGGUCAUCCCAACUACCUUUAAAGUAAAUAACACAUGACCUAAACAUGUCCUCUAUAGUAUGAAUGGUCCGUUCUGCUUGACCCUCUGUCUAAGGAUAAAAAGUUGUACUGAGAUGAACUUGGGUACCAAGACCCUUUUGAAAAACCUUCCAAAAGUGAGAGGUAAACUGAGCACCUUUAUCUGAAAUAAUAGACAACAAAAUCCCGUGCAACUUAACCAACUCUUUGAGAUAAUUUCUAGCAUAAUCCUCGGCUGAAUACGACGUAUAAACUGGCAAAAAAUGAGCUGAUUUGGUCAUUCUAUCUACAAUUACCCAAAUUGAAUCAUACUGACGACGCGUACGAGGCAACCUUAUCACAAAAUACAUGUUCUCCACUUUCCACUUCCAAGUGGGGAUGCUAAACUCCUACAAUGUACCACUAGGCCUUUGGUGCUCAAUUUUGACUUGUUGACAAUCUGAAUACUUAGCCACAAACUCUGUAAUAUCCUUCUUCAUACCAUUCCACCAAUAGAUUUCCCACAAAUAAUGGUACAUCUUAGUGGUUCCUGGAUGAAUAGAGUACCAUGCACGAUGAAUUUCUGCUAAAAUUCGUUGUCUGAAACCAGAUACACACGGAACACAUAACCUACCUUGAAAACAAAGCACACCAUCUCCCCCUUGGGAUAAAACCUCCACCUUCUAGUCUUUAGCUGCCUCUUCAACUUAACCAAACAGGGAUCCCUAUCUUGCUUUUCUUUCACUUCGGCAACCAAUGAAGAUUCCGAACCAUUCUGAACCCAUAUACUACCUUCAGCUGAAUCAACUAAUCAAACACCUAAUAUAGCAAGCUGAUGAACCUCAUGGACUAAAUUCUUCUUAUCUCCCUCAACAUUAGCAACACUACCCAUAUACAAUCUACUAAGGGCAUCUUUUACUAUAUUGGCCUUACUCGGAUGAUACAACACACUCAUAUCAUAAUCUUUUAACAACUCAAGCCAUCUUCUCUGUUGAAGAUUCAAAUAUUUUUGCAUGAACAUAUACUGUAAACUCUUAUGAUCCGUGAACACAUUAAUAUGAACCCUAUAAAGAUAAUUUCUCUAAAUUUUCAAAGCAAAAACAAUAGCUGUCAACUCAAGAUCAAAGGUAGGAAAUUUUUUUCAUGGGGUUUAAGCUGCCUAGAGUCUUAGGCUAUGACCUUGCCUCUCUACAUCAAAACACAACCAAGACCAACUCUGGAAGUAUCACAAUAAACUACAAAUCCAUUUGGCAAAGUUAAGACUAGGGGAAAAAGUGAUCCGAGUCUUUAACUCCUAAAAACUCUUCUCGCAAGAAUCUGACCACUAAAAUUUGACUUUCUUCUGAGUCAAUCAAGACAUGGGGCAAUCGAAUAAAACCGUUCAAUAAGCCAUAUGUAAUAGCUAGCACAACCCAAGAAACACCUGAUGUAUGAUGCAGAUAUAGGUCUAGGCCAGUUUCUCACUGCUUCGGUAUUUUAAAGGUAAACUCGGAUGCCAUUACCAGAAACUAUAUGGUCGAGGAAAGCUACUGAUCUUAGACAAAAUUCGCACUUACUGAACUUAGCGAAUAACUAAUGAUCUCUAAGGGUGUGCAAAACAACCUUCAAAUGAUUUGGAUGAUCAUUCUUAUUACUGGAAUAGACAAGGAUAUUAUCAAUGAAGACAAUGAAGAACAUGUCUAAGUACUGCUUGAAAACCCUAUUCAUCAAGUCCAUAAAAUCUACAGGGGUAUUUGUUAGUCCGGAGGACAUAACUAAGAAUUCACAGUGACCAUACUGAGUUCUAAAGGCUGUCUUCGAGAUGUCAAAUUCUCUGACUCUAAGAUGAUGAUAGCCGGAUCUGAGGGCUAUCUUAGAUAAUUAACUAACCCCCUAAAGUUGGUCUAACAAGCCAUCAAUUCAUUAGAGUGGAUACUUUUUCUUGAUUGUGACUUUAUUCAACUGACGGUAGUCGAUGCACAUUCUGAGAGAAUCAUCUUUCUUACGCACGAACAACACUGGAGCGCCCCAUGGAGAAACACUAGGCUUGAUUAAACCCUUUUCUAAGAGAUUUUUUAUUUGUUCCUUCAAUUUCUUAAACUCAGCUGGAGUCAUUCUGUAGGGUGGAAUAAAGAUAGGUUGUGUCUGGAAGGAGAUCUAUUUCGAAGUCACUAAAACUCCAGGACGAUCUUUAAGGAAUACAUCUGGAAAUUCAUUUACUAUUGGAACUGACUCAAGACUCUAAGCCUCAGAAUUUAAGUCUUUGACUCGGACAAGAGGUAAAUACACCCCUUGGAUAUCAUCUUUCUUGCUCUAAGAUAGGAAAUAAACUGACAUUUAGGUACUGAAGUACUCCCCCUCCAUUCAAUAACUGGUUCAUUAGGAAACUAAAAUUGAACGACUCUAUUUAUACAGUCAAUUGAGACAUAUCAUGAGUGGAGCCAAUCCAUGUUGAGAAUGACAUCGAAAUAAGUCAUCUCUAACUCCACAAGAUCAACUAAAGUGAUUUUUUGAGAUACUGUGAUCGGGCAAUUUAUGUAUACUCGCCUGGCUAUAAUAGAUCUAUCCAUCGAGGUAAACACUGAGUAAGGUUUUGCUAACAUUUUGGGACUGAAACCUAAGUUGACGGCUAUAUAAGGAGUCACAAAAGAAAGUGAAGCUCCGGGGUCUAAUAAAAUAUAAACAUAAAUAUGAAAGACCUGUAACAUAUGCAUAACCAUAUCGGAAGANNNNNNNNNNNNNNNNNNNNNNNNNNNNNNNNNNNNNUCUGGCGAUGUCCACUGGUUGUACUAGAAGUAGCACGUUACUGAGUUGGGCGAUUAGCUGGAGCAAAAGAACGAUUGGACUAACCUGUUGAUCAGCCCCUGGGCAAUCCCCACUCUGUUGCCUGGGUUGCCACAUCUAAAACACAUAUCACUACCUGUAUUAUAUUCACCCUGAUGAUUAUACCAUAUUUCUAGAAAAUCAAAUUAGUAUGACCACUGUUCACUUUACCUUGGGACUUAAAGCCUGGCACUCUAUCCCGACUAUCUUGCCUGAACUUAGGCACUGGCGCACUAGCUGAAAAUAGAGCUGGGGCUAAAAAUUUCUGAUGGAAAUGAGAACGAUUACCAUCGUCUGACCUUGGUUGAGAAAAGUUGGAACUACCUAUUCUAGCCCUCUUAUUCUCUCUCUCCUUCCCCUUACGCUUCUUCUCCCCAAUUAACUAAGCAUGAACCAUGAGUCUAGAUAGAUCCAUCUCCUUAAUCAACAUGGCAGUCCUAUACUCCUUAACCACACUAUCAGAUACACCAGAUACAAACUUACUCAUUCUAGACCUAUUAUCCGCCACCAUAGUAGGAGCAUACCUCACCAAUUUAGUGAACUUAAGUGAGUACUCCUUCACGUUCAUAUUACCUUUCUUCAAAUUGAUGAACUCCUAAACCUUAUCAUCCCUCAACUCUAUGGGAAAGAACCUAUUUAAGAAAGUUGUGGCAAACUCCUCUCUACUCUACAGGCCCUACAUCAACGCUUCGGUCCUCAUUUACUGCUUAAACCAGGUGUGAGAUACACCCUAUAACUGAUAUGCAACCUACUCUACACUCUCACUCGAAGUGACACCCAUGGUAUCUUUCACUUUCUGCACUAUGUCCAGAAACUCCUGUGGAUCCUCCCCAGACUUGGACCCAAAAAACAGAGGGAGAUUCAUCCGAGUGAAAUCUCGAAUCCUAACGACACCUAUAUUUUCCACUGGAUUGGCUGGGGCAACAACCUAAUGGUUGUUCUGAGUAGCUACAAAAUGGUAUAGGGUAGUGAAAGUAGCCUUGAAUUCAGCGUGAGACACAUGUUCAUUCAGGGGAUUUUCCUGAAUAUGUGGUAGUGCAGGAUGAUCCCCGUUCCUUCUUCCAUUAUUUCUUUUGGGAGGCAUUCUCCAUAAAUGGAAUGAAGGAUGAGUUAGAAAGAGGAAUUUAAUAGAGCUCAUGCUCUUUCUCAUGACAUGAACACUGAAAGAAGGGAAACUUUCGUAAAAUGUCUCGUAGGCUCUUGCCCAUAAGUGUGGUGUGCUUCAUACCCAUGCAUAAGAAUCUACUCAACGCGACUUUCAGACACCCUAGGACACUUUGAAACCUUAGACUCUGAUACUAAGUUUUGUCAUAACCCAAGGCUACCACUUGUCGAGACAACGAUGCUUACAACCACAAGUGACCACAAACUAAGCUAUGAGCUGGUAACUGCUGCGAGCACUGAGUAAAAUAGUAAUACAACAUAUGUAUGGAAGAAAAGUUGAUAAGAUACUGUAAAUCCGAAUACUGAAAUAAAGCAAGAACCCAUAUUUUAAUCAAAGAUAGGGUUUUUAAACUCAAUGGGUGAAAGAGACCCAUUGAUGAAUACCCCACAUACCUCUAUUGUUAGGUUAUUGAAGAUUGCUUGUACUUGGGAGCUUGAACUCUUGGAUUCUUGAAGAAAGAGCUUUGGUUUUGUUCUUGGGAAGGAAGAGGGUUUUUAUUGAGAGUAAUUUUAAGAGAAAGGGGCAAAUAAUACCCCUAUGAAUGCCGCAAAUCGUAUUAUGGAUAAAUUGGGUUAAGGGAAAAACACUUACUUACCCCUUUAUUUCAUUAAUUAAAGAGCUGGAUGGAAGAGAGCAACACAUCGUGUCUCUCUCUUCGAAGGAGACAACAACGCACCACGGACCCCAUCCCCAUGGGAGAGACUAAUGCGCCGUGGGCUUAUCACAUUGGCUCACUAUUUUAACUAUCUAAACACAUCCGAAACCUCAUCCGAAAAUCCUGAAACUCUCCCGAGAUAUACUUUUAACCUCUCUAAACAUGAAUCAACUCAAAAACUAAUGUCUUAGGGUCGGGAAGACUAAAAUAAGAAAUGGUGAAGUUUAGGAAUCUUGAAAAUGACUAAGUCCUUAACACUUAGUGAAAAUUUCAAGCCUUGGACCCCUCAAGCAUGCAACUACAACUGAACCGAGUUUAGGAUCUUAUGGGAUAUUACACAAUGCCUCCGUAUUGUGGACCCUAUAGCGGGGAAAUAGCCUACGCAGCACGGAACCAAUCACAGGGUAAUAGCCUACGCGGCACGGAGGACCCUAUCGCGGGGCAAUAGCCUACGUGACGUGACUCUAUCUUGGAGGCUCACUGUCUUUGCGGUCGAAAAAUGCCCCAAAUCCCAUCCAAAAAUUCUAACACCCUUUUGAGACAUACCAUUAACAUCCCUAAACAUAUUUCAACUCAAAAACUAAUGUCAGGUUUGGGAAGGCCAAAAAUAAAAUUCGUAAAAUCUUGGGGUCUUGAAAAUGACUAAGUCCUCAACACUUACUGAAAAUUUCAUGCCUUGGACCCCUUAACAGGCAACCAGAAGCUGAGUCGAGCUUAGAAUCUUAUGAGGUAUUACAAUAUCUCCCCCUUGGAACCAUUCAUCCUAAAAUAAAAUUGGUUAAGCUGGGAUACUAAGGAUACUGAGAGCGUAUACUGAAUACUGAUAGAUGAAACAUUAAAACUUUUAUCAUGAAACUAAUUUCUGAGCUGACUUGACUCUAUUGACUAUAUAGAGCUAAUUUAUGGUAAGAGAUUAGAACUCACUUGAAAUGUUCAUGAUACAACCAUACAUAUAGAACUGCUAAGUGAUAACUGAUGCAAUAAAAUUCCAAAAGUUACUAUGGAGGGAAUAAAGUUUGUAACUUCUCAUUAGGAAUUGUUCCUCAACAAAACACAUAUAGGAAUCAAAAGAAAAGGGCUUCAUGGCAUCACUAAGUACGUUAUGUAAGAACGAAUCAUGAGACAAUGAGACUGAGGUUGUACAAGGGGUAUCACAAUGUCUGAGCUGGAAUACUUGGAAAACUAAGAUCAUGUACUAAAUAUUAUGUACUAAGUCUUGACUAAAUAGCUGAAUUUGAAACAUGAUGCUUGGACUAAACUAAAUUCGCAACAUACAUGUGUGCGAUCAAAUUACCUCAUGGAAUAGCCAAAUUCAUGAAACUUCAGAUAGUAAGACUCGAUGGAAAGAUGGAAAAUCAUAGGAGCUUAUCUGUCUGAUUGCUAAAAUAAAUUGUUGGCUAUACACACUAAAUUAUACUGAAAGCUUACACUCAACUGGAGUGUUUCUUCAACACUUUUUCUGAGAAUUUCUAAUAACAUUAGGGAGCAAAGAAUUUUGGGCAUGAUCUGAGUGAGAUAUCAAAAUAAGGAAUCUUAAUAUAGCUAUAACUCUGUAACAUGGAACAGAGGCCUAUGAAACAUAAGUUGGGAUAGAAUUACUAGGCCUUACGCAAUGCAACUUCCCAAUUCAAGCCUCAACUCGCUCGUUAAAUACUUGCAACGGUACAUAUAACUACUCCAGCUAAAGUCUGAGUUGAGCUACAUACUCUCAACAUGUUCAAGCUUAACUCUAAAUCACAAGGUACUUCAUAUAACACCAUAAUACUAGUCUAAACCAUGAAAUUAAUACCCCAUGCAUUUUCACAACUUCUCAUCUCAAGAAUGAUUCUUCUUACGACUUCAACAACUAAAUUCAACCUCUUACUAGGAAUUCACUAGAACAAAAUACACCCAUCCACUUAUAUACCAACAUGACAUUCAAUCCUAUCUUUAUAACCACAUAUGAACUUCUAGGCAAACAACCCAUAAAAGCAUCUUUCUCAUGUUCUCUAAGCCUUUAUCAAUAACAACUUUCAUUUACUAUUCUUAAGAAGUCACACAUGGACUUCUCAACUAACCAUGACAUAUACCAAAAGCUUUGCCUCAAUCUCCCUCCAUACUUAUAGCCUUAGAUAAAAUAAGCAUGGAACAAUCUUUCCCCAACAUAAAAUAUUCACUUUCUCCCAUCUAAAUAAUUGUUCAUCACCACUAUCAUUUUAGAAGGAGAGAUCACUGAAAGGUUAGAUCAUGAGGACCUAAAGCAUGAAAGAAUACUAUGCAUGAUUUUUCUUUACACUUAACUGAAGCUUGAGGAAUAGAGUAUCAAUGACAUGAAUUCAUUACAGAGAUCAAAACUGAGGGCAUACAUGUCAUAGAUCUGAAUUUUCACUAGUCAUUAAGAGUUCACCAGAAAUGGGAACUAAGCACACUAUAAAUCAAGAGUAUAUGAGUCAUGAGUUGUAUGACCUGAGUUUGGAGUUCAAAAAUUCAUGGAAUAUGAUCUGUACUGUCGAGUGAACUGGAACUCCCUAUACUAGGAACUAAGAGCAUACACAAUUCUAUAGAAAGUGCAUGAAUAUAAGAUAUGAUCAUGAAGCUGACAUGUAUGGCAUGAUUAGAAAUCAUGAUGAAUGAAGUAUAAAAAUUUGCAUUGAGAUAAAAAUGGAUCGGACAUAUUCCUCCCCUAGUGUUGUUCUACAACAAACUGGCAUCACUACUAGAAUCUGAGAUCCUGACUUGGCUUCUUGUCCUAUUAUCUCCCCCUUAGAUUAAAGUUAUCAUUCUAAUAUAUGGACCCUUUAAUAAACUCUAAAUUGAACUACAACCACUUUACUCUAGAGUUUGAGAUAUAAAAAUACACAUCAAUAAUAAACUCACCCUAAAAGACUGCACCUGAAAGCAUAAAAACCCACUGUUAAUACUUCCUUAUAAGAUACAACUCUUAGCUUUUUAUAGCCCAUAACUUUGCUGGUAAGAAUAUCAUAUACUAUAUUACUGGCUUCAUUCAACUCAAGGAUACUAUCUGAGCAUACACAUUAAUACUUAUAAGUAAUACAAUCCCAUAUCACCUUGGGUACACCUCUAGAUCAUAUCCAUAUCAUCAUACAUAAUUUUGAAUCAAUAAACUUAAAUUCUUGCAUAUACUGCUUCAAGCCUGCUAGUUCAGAGCUCAUACACUAUCCCCAUGGAUACAUAAUCAACUGAAUACAGAUAAACACUAUCUCUACUUUACUAUUGUUAAACUUCUAGGUUUAUGUUUCUAACUCUAGGUCAUAUGCUAUCAUAGGAUUCUGAGAAGGGAUCUGAAAACAUUUCUGACUUUAGCUUAGUGCACAUUUUCAUGAACAUGAAUGAAAUCUUUCAAACUUUAGAACUUAAAAGCACUAAUGGGAUACUUUUGAGACUACGUGCAAUCCUAUAGCUGUCUAUGGGGAUUGUCCGAGAAAACUCUAUCUGUAAGGAUUUAAGCUUGGCUAUUUCUGUUGCCUCAAGAAUAAGGCAGAGUUGGCACAAAUGGAUUAACAUAAGCAUCUGCAUAAGUUUCUUAAAGAAUAAUUGUACUGUAUGAUCUGUGACAUGAAAGAAGGGAAAUAUUUCUUAAACACCCUGUAGCCUCUUGAAGAAAAGUACAGGUGUUUUCGUACCAUUCCAUAAGACUCUACUAGACACGACUUCAUAGACACCCUAGGACACUUGAACUUUGUACUUUGAUACUAGGUUUUUUCAUAACUCGAGACUAUCCCUUAGUCAUAACACGAUGAUUGGAAUCACAAGUGAUACCAAGCUAACCCAAAAAUUAGCAUACUACUUGAGCAACUGGUUUAAAUUGUACAAAAACUAAAUUUACUAAUCAAAAAUAUGAUCAUGAGAAAGUCUGAAUAAAUGUAAUACUGAUAAAGUUUAAAAUAUGAUAAAACUGAAGAAUGAAACUUGAAUUACAUGUAAUGACUCUGCCUAACUAUCUAUGAAGCCUCUACUAUACUAACUAUAGAUUACUGGGACAUGCCUCCUACUACCACAACUCAAUACAUAUGGAUAAUCAAAAUAAAACACAUGAACUAAUGGACUGGAGUUCCCGAAAUAGGAAAACUCAUCACUUAUUGGCUGAAUGAUGAGAACUGUCUGACCUAGGUGUAUGAGCUACGUCUGGUACCUACAUUACGAAGAAUGUAACCACAAAGGUAUAUAUGUGGUCAGUACAUUGAAAUGUACUGAGUAUAUGGAGACAUGCACUAAAUCAUGAAAAUACUUGAAAUAUGCUUUAAAAUUGAGGACGUAAGUUAUUCACUGAAUCAUACAUUUAAAAACCUGGCUAUACGUGAAAACUGAAAGUCAUAGUGAGAUUUAUAAAUCCUAAGCUAAAAAUAAUUAGGUAAGUUGAGGAAGCAUUAGAAACAUGAAUACUGUAUGAAAUUAUUAUGUAAAGCUAAAAAUGCUGUAAAAAUGUACUGAGGAUCAUGUAUGAAUACUGGUCUGAAAUUAUGUGAUGGAAACUGACAUAAAAUCAUUCACAUUUGAACUGAAAUGUAAACUGUCAUUACUCGAGGAUCUGAAUAUAUAAAUAUACUGAGCAUGAAUGCAUAAACAUAUAAAACCAAAUAUAACAUCAUUAAGACAUUGGUAGUGAAUCAUAAUUUAGGGGACCCAAAACAUAAUGUGCUAGAAUGACUUCUAACUUUAUAAAUUUCAAAAUGGAAAUAAGUUAAGCUUGAGAGGAUAUCAUGUUUACAUGACUAAAUACAUGAAUUUGACAACUUGACUUGGUAUUGGACAAACAUGACAUGUAAGUUUGAAAUUUAAAUCAUAUGGAACCAUAAUUCACAUGAACAAGCUAAUAGCAUGACUUGAAUGUAACAUUACUGAGGAAACAUGGAUAAUUUCAUGAAUUUCGCUGAAUUAAAUCAUAGUAAAGAGUAAAAAUUCAUACUCAAAUCAAAAAGAGGAUUUUUGGGACUCAAUAGGUGGAAGGAACCCAUUGAUGAAUAACCCACAUACCUCAAUGGUUAGAUUCUGAAGAAGGCUUGAACUUGAAAACUUGAACUCUUGGAUUCUUGAGAAGGGAUGUUUGAAUUGUUUGUUCUUGGGAAGGGGGAGGGUUUCUACAAGAGUUAUUCUGAUGAUUAUGGAAAAAUAAUGCCCUUUUGAGUGUCACAAAUUAUGUUUUGGACAAUUGGGAUUGAGGGUAAAGGACCAAAUAACCCCUUGGCCUCUUUAAUCAUGAAGUUGAAAAUACAAUGCCUCUGCAUCGCAGACCCUAUAGCUGGGGAAUAGCCUACACAACGCAGACCAUAUUGCGGGGGAAUAGCCCACAUGGCACCAACCCUAUCAUGGGGAAUAGCCUCCGUGGUGAGGUCAUAUGGCGGAGGCUCACUGCUUUUGUGGUGUAAACAUACCCCGAAUCCCAUCCAAAAAUUCCAAAACUUUUCCAAGACAUGCCAUUAACAUCCCUAAACAUGUUUCAACUCAAAAAAAAUGUCUCAAGUUUGGGAAUGCAAAAAAUAAAAUUAAAAUCUUAGGGUCUUGAAAAUGACUUAAGUCCUCAAUACUUAGUGAAAAUUUCAAGCCUUGGACCCCUUAACAUGCAACCAAAAGCUGAGUCGAUCUUAGAAUCUUACGGGGUAUUAUACAAUCUUUCUUCAAACUUAUAGCCUUAGAUAAAACAAGUAUGUGAUAAUCUUAUGCUAAUAAGGAUCAUUUACUCUCUCCCAUCUAAAUAAUUAUUCAUUGCCACCAUCAUUUCAGAGGUCACCUGAAAGGUUUGAACAUGAGGUCCUAAAGCAUGAAAGUAUAUUAUACAUAACCUUGACACUUAACUGAGGCCUGAGGAAUAGAGUAUCAAAGGUAUGGAUUC